RNAcentral lists this ribosomal RNA (763 nucleotides) under uncultured Rhodoferax sp. RNAcentral describes it as "bacterial SSU rRNA". It matches the Rfam family "Bacterial small subunit ribosomal RNA", at positions 8 to 766 of the family's 1533-position model. Lineage: Bacteria; Pseudomonadati; Pseudomonadota; Betaproteobacteria; Burkholderiales; Comamonadaceae. The record is from RNAcentral.
AGAGUUUGAUCCUGGCUCAGAUUGAACGCUGGCGGCAUGCCUUACACAUGCAAGUCGAACGGCAGCACGGGAGCAAUCCUGGUGGCGAGUGGCGAACGGGUGAGUAAUAUAUCGGAACGUGCCCAGUCGUGGGGGAUAACGCAGCGAAAGCUGUGCUAAUACCGCAUACGAUCUACGGAUGAAAGCGGGGGAUCGCAAGACCUCGCGCGAUUGGAGCGGCCGAUAUCAGAUUAGCUAGUUGGCGGGGUAAAAGCCCACCAAGGCGACGAUCUGUAGCUGGUCUGAGAGGACGACCAGCCACACUGGAACUGAGACACGGUCCAGACUCCUACGGGAGGCAGCAGUGGGGAAUUUUGGACAAUGGGCGCAAGCCUGAUCCAGCAAUGCCGCGUGCAGGAUGAAGGCCUUCGGGUUGUAAACUGCUUUUGUACGGAGCGAAACGGCUUCUUCUAAUACAAGGAGCUAAUGACGGUACCGUAAGAAUAAGCACCGGCUAACUACGUGCCAGCAGCCGCGGUAAUACGUAGGGUGCGAGCGUUAAUCGGAAUUACUGGGCGUAAAGCGUGCGCAGGCGGUUAUAUAAGACAGAUGUGAAAUCCCCGGGCUCAACCUGGGACCUGCAUUUGUGACUGUAUAGCUAGAGUACGGUAGAGGGGGAUGGAAUUCCGCGUGUAGCAGUGAAAUGCGUAGAUAUGCGGAGGAACACCGAUGGCGAAAGCAAUCCCCUGGACCUGUACUGACGCUCAUGCACGAAAGCGUGGGG